Colias croceus (clouded yellow) is the source of this 1674-nucleotide long non-coding RNA. RefSeq lists it as uncharacterized. The transcript has 2 exons. The record is from RefSeq and is a predicted model, not a curated record. Lineage: Eukaryota; Metazoa; Arthropoda; Insecta; Lepidoptera; Pieridae.
UUGGCGACGGGGAAGUGGAAAUUCAACAUAAAUAAUCAAGUGAAGGACGAGUACAACGUGCAUGCGUACAUCGACCCAUGUGCUCCUAACACCUUGUGCCAGUUGAGAGAAAAAUUGAAGAACUAUCUGAGGCAGUGAUAAAAAUUUAUUCAGAAUUAAAUCUGUUGGCACCAUAAGUUGGAUAUUGAUAAUCUGUGGUACACACAGCGUCACCUGGCAACACUGUUAUUCGGGAAGACAUCUUUGAUUUUACAUUUAUACACGGCAUUCUAUACAAUCCUUUUCUGUUAAUUACUAUUUACAAUUGUUACAUGAAAUAAAGUACAUACUUGAGAUUAAUUGCUUUCUAUUAUACAACCCGACAUACAUAACAGAUUGGCGACGGGGAAGUGGAAAUUCAACAUAAAUAAUCAAGUGAAGGACGAGUACAACGUGCAUGCGUACAUCGACCCAUGUGCUCCUAACACCUUUUCCUUUGUUCCAAGGGUUCCACAUCCCAUGAUGAUAACCCGCUUCACAACCUCCUUUUUCCUUUACAAUAAUAUAAAAUACAUUACAAGUACGCAAAAUGGUACAGCAAUUGGGGCAAGUAUUAUCUCAAAUGUUAGAAACCAUCCGAGGAAUUCAAGUACAACAAGCGCAAUUACAACAGCAAUUACAAAAUACGGAUAAAUCAGUGAGUGGAAUUACAUUACAACCAUACGACGAAAACAAUGAAAGUUUCUCAUCGUAUUUACAAAGGUUAGAAAAUUACAUUAACCUAAAAGGGGUUACAAAUGAUAAAACAAAAUCACAGAUUUUUCUGAACUGCAUUGGCCCUAAAUACUACCAAGUUUUACAAAAUAUUACAGCACCUGAUUCUCCGGAAACCAAAUCAUAUUAUGACCUGAUACAAUUAUUGAAAAACCAUAUCGUACCUGAACCUGGUGAAGUAGCCCAAUAGCACAAAUUUUGUUUAAGACAACAAUACGAAUGUGAAAGUAUUGCAAAUUAUGUUGCUGACUUAAAAGAACUAGGGGGAAAAUGUAACUUUAAAUUUGCGAGCUGUCAACACAGCACAUUUGAAACUCAUCUGCGAGUACAAUUCAUACGAGGUCUCCGGAGUGCAGAAAUAAAAGAAAGGUUACUACAAGAAAGCUCAACUACAAAGGUUGAUGAUUUAAUUAAGAUUGCAAUGGCGAUUGAGACAUCUAAAGCUGAAACAAAAGAAAUAUGUUCUGGCCAAGUAAACAUUAACAAAAUUUCAACAAAAUCAAAUCAUUUCAAAAUUAAAACAAACAUACAGCAACCUACAUAUAUAAAUACAUACAAAAGAAAAAAUACAAAUAAAUCAUACAAUUCAUAUCACGAGAAGAUGAGAGAAAUAAAAGUUUUCGCUGUGGCAAAGAAAACCAUACAGCAAGGCAAUGUCGUUUGAAAGAUGUGCAAGAAUUGGUGCGAGUUGAAAGAAAAAUAGAAGAACUAUCUGAGGCAGUAAUGAAAAUUUAUUCAGAAUUAAAUCUGUUGGCACCAUAAGUUGGAUAUUGAUAAUCUGAGGUACACACAGCGUCACCUGGCAACACUGUUAUUCAGGAAGACAUCUUUGAUUUUACAUUUAUACACGGCAUUCUAUACAAUCCUUUUCUGUUAAUUACUGUUUACAAUUGUUACAUGAAAUAAAGUACAUACUUGAGA